This 586-nucleotide long non-coding RNA is filed under the name Pongo abelii (Sumatran orangutan). Its description in RNAcentral is "lincRNA". The record is from RNAcentral. Lineage: Eukaryota; Metazoa; Chordata; Mammalia; Primates; Hominidae.
CAGAAGUCUGGCACUUUGUGGUUGAAUUCUCUUCCCAGGGUAUCACAAUGCUCAGAGAAACAUCCCAUAAAUUGGUUCCAGAUUGAGAAGGUAUGGUGGAUAAAGCGAUGCUGCCUUGGGAAAAUAUCCAAAUGUAACUCAAAGAACCACAAGACCCUGUAACUCUCAAUUUGAAGAUGGCAUGAUAAUUUUAUACCCUAACCCUGUUCUCUGCUUGGGACACAGAACAAGGAUAGAUACAUCAUUCAGAGCCUGUUUUCUGACCACAGAAGAAUGAACCAAUAAAUUGAAAACAAACAGAUCACCAGAAAAUUUCUACUCUUUAAAAAAUAAUCACUAUACUUCCAAAUAAUCCACAUCAAAAUAGAAUUAACAAAAAAUAAUAUAAGUUAGUUGGUCUACAAUCAAAAACAAUAUUCCCAGGGCUAUAGACAGGAGGAGCCCUCUUCCAUCCGCCGCUGCCUCUAUGAAAUUCCAGCAUCAUUUUUCUGGUUUUCAUUUGGAAACAAAGCCACUAAACAGUAUCUUUGAAGAGUCUCAAAUCCAUAAAACAGAGAGCAAAUAAACUGAAAAUAGAACCGGAAAA